UACGAAGGGGGCUAGCGUUGCUCGGAAUUACUGGGCGUAAAGGGAGCGUAGGCGGCCAUUUAAGUCAGGGGUGAAAUCCCAGAGCUCAACUCUGGAACUGCCUUUGAUACUGGAUGUCUUGAGUGUGAGAGAGGUAUGUGGAACUCCGAGUGUAGAGGUGAAAUUCGUAGAUAUUCGGAAGAACACCAGUGGCGAAGGCGACAUACUGGCUCAUUACUGACGCUGAGGCUCGAAAGCGUGGGGAGCAAACAGG
RNAcentral lists this ribosomal RNA (253 nucleotides) under uncultured bacterium. RNAcentral describes it as "partial 16S ribosomal RNA". It matches the Rfam family "Bacterial small subunit ribosomal RNA", at positions 524 to 776 of the family's 1533-position model. The record is from RNAcentral.